RNAcentral lists this ribosomal RNA (345 nucleotides) under uncultured bacterium. RNAcentral's name for it is "bacterial SSU rRNA". It matches the Rfam family "Bacterial small subunit ribosomal RNA", at positions 344 to 688 of the family's 1533-position model. The record is from RNAcentral.
GGAGGCAGCAGUGAGGAAUAUUGGUCAAUGGACGCAAGUCUGGACCAGCCAUGCCGCGUGCAGGAUGACGGCUUAUGAGUUGUAAACUGCUUUUGUACGAGGGUAACGCAGAUACGUGUAUCUGUCUGAAAGUAUCGUACGAAUAAGGAUCGGCUAACUCCGUGCCAGCAGCCGCGGUAAUACGGAGGAUUCAAGCGUUAUCCGGAUUUAUUGGGUUUAAAGGGUGCGUAGGCGGUUUGAUAAGUUAGAGGUGAAAUUUCGGGGCUCAACCCUGAACGUGCCUCUAAUACUGUUGAGCUAGAGAGUAGUUGCGGUAGGCGGAAUGUAUGGUGUAGCGGUGAAAUG